ACCUGGCUAGCUUAGUCUGCAGAGCAUGAGACUCUUGUUCUCGGAGCUGUGGGUUCGAGCCCCACGUUGGAUG
Molecule: transfer RNA, 73 nt
Filed under: Felis catus (domestic cat)
Lineage: Eukaryota; Metazoa; Chordata; Mammalia; Carnivora; Felidae
Also listed under: 4 other names
Rfam family: tRNA
About the family: Transfer RNA (tRNA) molecules are approximately 80 nucleotides in length. Their secondary structure includes four short double-helical elements and three loops (D, anti-codon, and T loops). Further hydrogen bonds mediate the characteristic L-shaped molecular structure. tRNAs have two regions of fundamental functional importance: the anti-codon, which is responsible for specific mRNA codon recognition, and the 3' end, to which the tRNAs corresponding amino acid is attached (by aminoacyl-tRNA synthetases). tRNAs cope with the degeneracy of the genetic code in two manners: having more than one tRNA (with a specific anti-codon) for a particular amino acid; and 'wobble' base-pairing, i.e. permitting non-standard base-pairing at the 3rd anti-codon position.
Source: Rfam by way of RNAcentral